RNAcentral lists this ribosomal RNA (1238 nucleotides) under uncultured prokaryote. Its description in RNAcentral is "partial 16S ribosomal RNA". It matches the Rfam family "Archaeal small subunit ribosomal RNA", at positions 78 to 1322 of the family's 1478-position model. The record is from RNAcentral.
UCGGCAAAACGCUCAGUAACACGUCGGUAAUCUGCCCUCUGGUCAGGGAUAAGCUCGGGAAACUGAGUGUAAUACCUGAUAGGGAACACAUCCUGGAAUGGUGUGUUCUUUCAAACUCGUGCCUAAGGAUUGGACGGCGGCGGAUUAGGUAGUUGGCGGGGUAAUGGCCCACCAAGCCUAAGAUCAGUACGGGCCUUGAGAGAGGUAGCCCGGAGAGGGACACUGAGAUACUGGUCCCAGCCCUACGGGGUGCAGCAGGCGCGUAACCUUUACAAUGCACGAAAGUGUGAUAAGGGAAUCCUAAGUGCUCAUGUUUUACAUAGGCUUUUGCCAAGAGUAAAUAUCUUGGCGAAUAAGUGGUGGGCAAGACUGGUGCCAGCAGCCGCGGUAACACCAGCGCCGCAAGUGGUAUUCACGUUUAUUGGGCCUAAAGCGUCCGUAGCUGGUUUUCAAAAUCCUCUGUGAAAUUGCUCGGCUCAACCGAUCAGCGCGCAAGGGACACUGCAGGGCUCGAGACCGGGAGGAGUCAGAAGUAUUCAAGGGGGACCGGUAAAAUGUUAUAAUCCACGGAGGACCACCGAUGGCGAAGGCAUCUAGCCAGAACGGAUCCGACGGUGAGGGACGAAAGCUAGGGGAGCGAACCGGAUUAGAUACCCGAGUAGUCCUAGCCGUAAACGCUGUGAGCUAGGUGUUGCGUAAUCUACGGGAUUGCGCAGUGUCGAAAUGAAGAUGAUAAGCUCACCGCCUGGGAAGUACGGUCGCAAGGCUGAAACUUUAAGGAAUUGGCGGGGGAGCACCACAAGGGGUGCGGCGUGCGGUUUAAUCUAAUUUAACGCAGAGAAUCUUACCAGAGCCGACGGCAGGAUGAAGGCCAAUCUGAAGGGUUUGCCUGACGAGCCGAGAGGUAGUGCAUGGCCGCCGUCAGCUCGUACCGCGAGGUGUCCUGUUAAGUCAGGCAACGAGCAAGACCUGUAUUCACAAUUGCUAACAGCCACAUGUGGGACUGAGCACUUUGUGGGGACUGCUGUGGUAACACAGAGGAAGGUGCAGGCUACGGUAGGUCUGUAUGCCCCGAAUCUCAUGGGCUACACGCGCGCAACAAUGGUAGGGACAAUGGGACGCGACUCCGAAAGGAGAAGCUAAACCUCGAAACCCUAUCUUAGUACAGAUUGAGGCUUGUAACUCAGCCUCAUGACGACGGAAUCCCUAGUAAUCAGAAGUUAUCAACUUCUGGUGAA